This 251-nucleotide ribosomal RNA is filed under the name uncultured bacterium. RNAcentral's name for it is "partial 16S ribosomal RNA". It matches the Rfam family "Bacterial small subunit ribosomal RNA", at positions 525 to 776 of the family's 1533-position model. The record is from RNAcentral.
ACGUAGGGGGCAAGCGUUAUCCGGAAUUACUGGGCGUAAAGGGUGCGUAGGUGGUAUGACAAGUCAGGGGUUAAAAGCUAGGGCUCAACCGUAGUCAGCCCUUGAAACUGUCUAACUUGAGUGCAGGAGAGGUAAGUGGAAUUCCUAGUGUAGCGGUGAAAUGCGUAGAUAUUAGGAGGAACACCAGUGGCGAAGGCGACUUACUGGACUGUAACUGACACUGAGGCACGAAAGCGUGGGGAGCAAACAGG